CUUUAAGGAGAUAAAAACACGGCCCCGUUGAGUAGUCGGGGCGCGGCGCCAUCGGCGCCGUCCGUAACCUGCCUCCUUGGUUGUCUCUUCUCCGCAUGGAAAGC
This 104-nucleotide non-coding RNA is filed under the name Gordonibacter pamelaeae. RNAcentral's name for it is "Azaaromatic sequence". It matches the Rfam family "azaaromatic riboswitch aptamer (yjdF RNA)". The record is from RNAcentral. Lineage: Bacteria; Bacillati; Actinomycetota; Coriobacteriia; Eggerthellales; Eggerthellaceae. RNAcentral also lists the same sequence under 1 other name.